UACGGGGGGAGCAAGCGUUGUUCGGAUUUACUGGGCGUAAAGGGCGCGUAGGCGGCCUCCGCAAGUCAGUUGUGAAAUCUCCGAGCUUAACUCGGAAAGGUCAACUGAUACUGCGGGGCUAGAGUGCGGAAGGGGCAACUGAAAUUCUUGGUGUAGCGGUGAAAUGCGUAGAUAUCAAGAGGAACACCUGCGGCGAAGGCGGGUUGCUGGGCCGACACUGACGCUGAGGCGCGAAAGCUAGGGGAGCGAACGGG
Molecule: ribosomal RNA, 254 nt
Filed under: uncultured bacterium
Lineage: Bacteria
Description: partial 16S ribosomal RNA
Rfam family: Bacterial small subunit ribosomal RNA
Source: RNAcentral